AGCCUCCAAAACAGGCCAAAAAGCCUCAAAAAUGGGCCAAAAAAUGGCCUGAAAAAGGCUGAAAAAAGGCCUGAAAACACUGUAUGCGGAGGCCAAAAAACAGCCGGCGGGUGGGCGGGGCUUCAGCAAUAUUCGAUUUACAAGACGCACAGACAUUUUCGCCGCCUUUUGGGAGACAAAAAAGUGCGUCUUAUAGUCCAAAAAAUAAAGUAAUUCCAAAAAACUGCCCUCCUUUCCACGCUUCUCUAAUGGGUCCGUUAUAAUUUUGUACCGAAAAUCUACAGAUUUGUGUUCCUCUAUUCGUUCAGAAAAUAAAACAAAGCCGCACCUUCAGUUCUAAAGUUUAAAAAGAAGACUGGACCGGAAGGAUUAUCAUCCUGUAAUUAAUUUGUAAUUGUGGGAUUUGAGUUGUACUCUCUUUCUUGGAGUGGGGUGUGAGGGGGUGUGAAUCCUCUUUAGCUGGAUACCAUUAUGUCAUAUGAUUGGAUUGUAAUAUUUGUAAUAAUCGAUUCCACACUAGGAUAAAAAGUAAAAAAAAAAAAAUUUUUUUUUGAGGAAUAUGCCAUUUUUUUUAACGCUCGUUUGAAAAAGGCAGCUCUUUUCCCUGAAAAUUCUUUUGAUGGGCCUUUCCAUGUAAUGAUCUUGCAAAAGACAACUGCGGUACAUUUUCCUACUAAUGUCCCUGUAGAAAAUUGAGCCUGAGACACAUAAAUGAGCAACAUUACCUGGGACACAGUCAAUCAAAUAAGCUACCUUGUCUACGAUACUCAAACUAACCUCAGCCUCGCUCUCAAACUGACGUCCCACCACGAAAUAUAGAAAAGAUGGUUGAAGGAUACGGACUUCCGUCUAGCCCGCCGCAGUACGAGAUCUCCAGCGAGAUAACAAGAAAAAGAGCCGAAUUCUUGGAAAGCUGAAGAGAUGAAAUUAACUAAGGAAGAAUGUCAGUAACUCAGCAAUCUGUCGAUGAUAAACGAAACAAGAAAAUGAGCAGAAGCCACAGGAGUCCUAGAAAACUAGCAGCCAAAGUGGAGAAUAGCAGCAGCAAACAUGGUUUACCACAAGUCUUAAAUGCUUUUGGACUCCGUUCAUAUUCUUUGUUGGAUUAGAUGAGUGGGAUGGAUGACAGCUUGGCUUUCGAUAUUUUUUUUUUUAUUUCCGUAGCGAUAACGUGAAAGCAAGUUUUGGAUCAAGCUGAUGUGAUUUAUUACUUUUUUUGGGUCAUUCCUUCCUCCUGGAGCGUCUGACCUUGGUGGACAUGCAACUUCUCCAGGAACACCCAGCGCAUCGUCUCUGAACCAAGGCAUCCGUGAUCAACACCCUUUUUUAAAUCCAAAACGAACAGAAGGAGAAGUUGGGAAAUGAGAAGAAGCCAGAGAAAAAGAGUGAACGAAUUUUCAGCCACUGAGCAGUUCACUUAAUAUUCAGAUGACAUGAAAUAUAUAAUGUUUAUUAUAAAAAUAUAAAUCUGGAAAAUCAUUGUUUCCUCACAAUUGAAAAUGGAGGGAUAGAUAGAUAGAGAGAUAGAUAGAUGGAGAGAGAUGGAUAGAUAUAGAUCGAUCGAUCGAUCGAUCGAUCGAUCGAUAGAUAGAUAGAUAGAUAGAUGAGGAGAGAUGGAUAGAUAUAGAUUGAUAGAUGAUAGAUAGAUGAUAAAUAGAUAAAUAGAUAGAUAAAUAGUUAUGGAUAGAUGGAUGGAUGGAUAGAGGGAUAGCUAGAUAUGGAUAGAUAGAUAAAUAGAGAUAUAUACUAUUGUGGAAUAUAUUUUCAGAAAUUACUCUUUCAUCUACAGUUUUUUCUCAAAAUGUUCAGUAGUGAGAUUAUGAGUAGUAGCUUCUCUUGCAUUUUGCAGGGCAAUUUUACAAAUGCAUUUGUUUAGUGACUGUUAAAGUUACAGUGGCACUGAAAAAAAGCGACUUAUGACCGUUUUUCACACUUAUGGCCAUUGCAAUGGUCACGUGAUCAAAAAAGCAGAUGCUUGGCAACUGUUUCAUAUUUACGACGGUGGCAGUAUGCCCGGGGUCACAAAUGGGGGACAAAAUUCACUUAACAGGUUUCUCGUUUAGCAACAUAAAUUUUGGGCUUCGUUGUGGUCGUAAGCUGAGGACCACCUGCAUACAGAAAACUCCCCAGCUCA
Pantherophis guttatus is the source of this 2134-nucleotide long non-coding RNA. RefSeq lists it as uncharacterized. The record is from RefSeq and is a predicted model, not a curated record. NCBI's taxonomy places the organism in Eukaryota, Metazoa, Chordata, Lepidosauria, Squamata, Colubridae.